RNAcentral lists this microRNA (24 nucleotides) under Caenorhabditis elegans. Its description in RNAcentral is "cel-miR-1019-3p". Lineage: Eukaryota; Metazoa; Nematoda; Chromadorea; Rhabditida; Rhabditidae. The record is from miRBase by way of RNAcentral.
CUGUAAUUCCACAUUGCUUUCCAG